AAAAUUCACCAGGGGUGCUCUGAAAUUAAUCAGGGCUGAGAAACACCCUUAUAACCUGCACUGGAUAAUGCCUGCGGAGGGAGAGUGAUGAUAUCCACAC
Molecule: non-coding RNA, 100 nt
Filed under: Legionella oakridgensis
Lineage: Bacteria; Pseudomonadati; Pseudomonadota; Gammaproteobacteria; Legionellales; Legionellaceae
Also listed under: 1 other name
Description: TPP sequence
Rfam family: TPP riboswitch aptamer (THI element)
About the family: Vitamin B(1) in its active form thiamin pyrophosphate (TPP) is an essential coenzyme that is synthesised by coupling of pyrimidine and thiazole moieties in bacteria. The previously detected thiamin-regulatory element, thi box was extended, resulting in a new, highly conserved RNA secondary structure, the THI element, which is widely distributed in eubacteria and also occurs in some archaea.
Source: RNAcentral